Molecule: ribosomal RNA, 77 nt
Filed under: Haloarcula sp. Atlit-47R
Lineage: Archaea; Methanobacteriati; Methanobacteriota; Halobacteria; Halobacteriales; Haloarculaceae
Source: RNAcentral
UUAGGCGGCCACAGCGGCGGGGUUGCCUCCCGUACCCAUCCCGAACACGGAAGAUAAGCCCGCCAGCGUUCCGGGGA